This 242-nucleotide ribosomal RNA is filed under the name uncultured bacterium. Its description in RNAcentral is "partial 16S ribosomal RNA". It matches the Rfam family "Bacterial small subunit ribosomal RNA", at positions 118 to 347 of the family's 1533-position model. The record is from RNAcentral.
UGGGUAACCUGCCUCAAAGAGGGGAAUAGCCUCCCGAAAGGGAGAUUAAUACCGCAUAAUAUGUUUAAGUCGCAUGACUUUAACAUCAAAGGAUUUUCUUUUAGAAAUUCCACUUUGAGAUGGACCCCGCGGCGCAUUAGCUAGUUGGUGAGGUAACGGCUCACCAAGGCAACGAUGCGUAGCCGACCUGAGAGGGUNAUCGACCACAUUGGAACUGAGACACGGUCCAGACUCCGUAGGAG